This 50-nucleotide transfer RNA is filed under the name Lepidoglyphus destructor. RNAcentral's name for it is "tRNA-Ser". Lineage: Eukaryota; Metazoa; Arthropoda; Arachnida; Sarcoptiformes; Glycyphagidae. The record is from RNAcentral.
AAGGUAAACUUCGAGACUUCUAAUCUCUUUCUUCCACCCGGAUUACCUUU